GUAUCCUACGGGGCGCAGCAGUGGGGAAUAUUGCACAAUGGGGGGAACCCUGAUGCAGCGACGCCGCGUGAGGGAAGAAGGUUUUCGUAUUGUAAACCUCUGUCCUCUGUGACGAUAAUGACGGUAGCAGAGGAGGAAGCCACGGCUAACUACGUGCCAGCAGCCGCGGUAAUACGUAGGUGGCGAGCGUUAUCCGGAAUUACUGGGUGUAAAGGGAGCGUAGGCGGGGGAACAAGUUGAAUGUUUAAGAUAUGGGCUCAACUCAUAUAAGCGUUCAAAACUGUUUUUCUUGAGUGAAGUAGAGG
Molecule: ribosomal RNA, 305 nt
Filed under: uncultured bacterium
Lineage: Bacteria
Description: bacterial SSU rRNA
Rfam family: Bacterial small subunit ribosomal RNA
Source: RNAcentral